UACGGAGGGGGCAAGCGUUACUCGGAAUUAUUGGGCGUAAAGGGCGCGUAGGCGGUCGUGCGCGUCGGAGGUGAAAUCCCCGGGCUUAACCCGGGAGCUGCCUCCGAUACGGCAUGGCUUGAGUCCGGGAGAGGGGAGCAGAAUUCCCAGUGUAGCGGUGAAAUGCGUAGAUAUUGGGAGGAAUACCAGUGGCGAAGGCGGCUCCCUGGACCGGUACUGACGCUGAGGCGCGAAAGCGUGGGUAGCAAACGGG
RNAcentral lists this ribosomal RNA (253 nucleotides) under uncultured bacterium. RNAcentral's name for it is "partial 16S ribosomal RNA". It matches the Rfam family "Bacterial small subunit ribosomal RNA", at positions 524 to 776 of the family's 1533-position model. The record is from RNAcentral.